CGGGUAUGCUUGUUUUCAAGUAUAUGCCGGCGACCGGCGCACGGGUGAGUAACGCGUAUCCAACCUGCCCACCACAAGGGAAUAACCCGUCGAAAGUCGGCCUAAUGCCCUAUGUAUUCCGAUGAAGUCCUCUGAAUCGGAAUAAAGCAUUUGCGGUGAUGGAUGGGGAUGCGUCUGAUUAGCUUGUCGGCGGGGUAACGGCCCACCGAGGCAACGAUCAGUAGGGGUUCUGAGAGGAAGGUCCCCCACAUUGGAACUGAGACACGGUCCAAACUCCUACGGGAGGCAGCAGUGAGGAAUAUUGGUCAAUGGGCGUGAGCCUGAACCAGCCAAGUAGCGUGCAGGAUGACGGCCCUAUGGGUUGUAAACCGCUUUUAUACGGGGAUAAAAGGGGUGAACGUGUUCUCCUUUGCAGGUACCGUAUGAAUAAGGACCGGCUAAUUCCGUGCCAGCAGCCGCGGUAAUACGGAAGGUCCUGGCGUUAUCCGGAUUUAUUGGGUUUAAAGGGAGCGCAGGCUGCACUUUAAGCGUGUUGUGAAAUGUACCGGCUCAACCGGUAACGUGCAGCGCGAACUGGGGUGCUUGAGUACGAAGAGGGAAGGCGGAACUCGUGGUGUAGCGGUGGAACGCUUAGAUAUCACGAGGAACUCCGAUCGCGAAGGCAGCUUUCCGUUUCGGAACUGACGCUGAGGCUCGAAAGUGCGGGUAUCGAACAGGAUUAGAUACCCUGGUAGUCCGCACGGUAAACGAUGGAUGCUCGCUGUUGGAUAUUUU
Molecule: ribosomal RNA, 774 nt
Filed under: uncultured Bacteroidota bacterium
Lineage: Bacteria; Pseudomonadati; Bacteroidota
Description: bacterial SSU rRNA
Rfam family: Bacterial small subunit ribosomal RNA
Source: RNAcentral